UGGGGAAUAUUGCACAAUGGGCGCAAGCCUGAUGCAGCCAUGCCGCGUGUGUGAAGAAGGCCUUCGGGUUGUAAAGCACUUUCAGCGAGGAGGAAGGUGGUGGACUUAAUACGUUCAUCAAUUGACGUUACUCGCAGAAGAAGCACCGGCUAACUCCGUGCCAGCAGCCGCGGUAAUACGGAGGGUGCAAGCGUUAAUCGGAAUUACUGGGCGUAAAGCGCACGCAGGCGGUUUGUUAAGUCAGAUGUGAAAUCCCCGGGCUCAACCUGGGAACUGCAUUUGAAACUGGCAAGCUAGAGUCCUCGUAGAGGGGGGUAGAAUUCCAGGUGUAGCGGUGAAAUGCGUAGAGAUCUGGAGGAAUACCGGUGGCGAAGGCGGCCCCCUGGACGAAGACUGACGCUCAGGUGCGAAAGCGUGGGGAGCAAACAGAUUAGNUACCCUGGUAGUCACGCUGUAAACGAUGUCGAUUUUGGAGGUUGUGCCCUUGAGGCGUGCUUCCGGAGCUAACGCGUUAAAUCGACCGCCUGGGGAGUACGGCCGCAAGGUUAAAACUU
RNAcentral lists this ribosomal RNA (554 nucleotides) under uncultured bacterium. Its description in RNAcentral is "partial 16S ribosomal RNA". It matches the Rfam family "Bacterial small subunit ribosomal RNA", at positions 355 to 902 of the family's 1533-position model. The record is from RNAcentral.